GCACUUUGCUCUCAGUCGUUCUGCUGUGUGGUGCGGAGCGCGGAGGGCAGAGGUGCCACAGUAAAGCGGAGUAAAUCCAGAUGGGUUUCCUGUACGAUGGGACCCGUCUCUACAGCUUUGCAACAAAU
Molecule: small nucleolar RNA, 128 nt
Organism: Callorhinchus milii (elephant shark)
Lineage: Eukaryota; Metazoa; Chordata; Chondrichthyes; Chimaeriformes; Callorhinchidae
Product: small nucleolar RNA SNORA55
Exons: 1
Source: RefSeq, a predicted model, not a curated record